RNAcentral lists this ribosomal RNA (400 nucleotides) under phytoplankton environmental sample. RNAcentral describes it as "partial small subunit ribosomal RNA". It matches the Rfam family "Eukaryotic small subunit ribosomal RNA", at positions 587 to 990 of the family's 1831-position model. The record is from RNAcentral.
AGCUCCAAUAGCGUAUAUUUAAGUUGUUGCAGUUAAAAAGCUCGUAGUUGGAUUUCGGGUGUGGGGCGCCGGUCCGCUUCGGUGUGCACUGGCGGCCCAGGCCUUCUUGUCGGGGAUGCGCUCUGGUAUUGAUUUAUCGGACGCAGAGUCGGCGCAGUUACUUUGAAAAAAUUAGAGUGUUCAAGGCAGGCUUUUUUACAGCUUGAAUACAUGAGCAUGGAAUAAUGGAACAGGACUACGGUCCCUUGUUUCGUUGGUUUCGAGGACCGAAGUAAUGAUUAAGAGGGACAGUUGGGGGCAUCCGUAUUUCGCAGUCAGAGGUGAAAUUCUUGGAUCCGCGAAAGACGAACUACUGCGAAAGCAUUUGCCAAGAGUGUUUUCAUUAAUCAAGAACGAAAGU